UACGGGGGGGGCAAGCGUUGUUCGGAAUUACUGGGCGUAAAGGGCUCGUAGGUGGCCAACUAAGUCGGACGUGAAAUCCCUCAGCUUAACUGGGGAACUGCGUCCGAUACUGGAUGGCUUGAGUUCGGGAGAGGGAUGCGGAAUUCCAGGUGUAGCGGUGAAAUGCGUUGAGAUCAGAAGGAACGCCCGUGGCGAAAGCGAGGUCCUGGACCCCAUCUGACGCUGAGACGCGAAAGCCAGGGGAGCGAACGGG
RNAcentral lists this ribosomal RNA (253 nucleotides) under uncultured bacterium. RNAcentral describes it as "partial 16S ribosomal RNA". It matches the Rfam family "Bacterial small subunit ribosomal RNA", at positions 524 to 776 of the family's 1533-position model. The record is from RNAcentral.